Dalotia coriaria is the source of this 1758-nucleotide long non-coding RNA. RefSeq lists it as uncharacterized. NCBI's taxonomy places the organism in Eukaryota, Metazoa, Arthropoda, Insecta, Coleoptera, Staphylinidae. The transcript is spliced from 2 exons. The record is from RefSeq and is a predicted model, not a curated record.
AUUUAAAUUAAACGCCGGUUGAGUAAUCCGCAUCAUAAACGCGUGUUAUUCCUGCGCACAUGGCAGGCGUGGUUCUAUAAAUAAAAAAGAAUUUGCUGGAAAAUUGAAUAUCGAAGUGCGCGCAUGCGCCGUGUACCCAAAGACAAAAUUACAGCUUAAUUACGAAUCUCAUUGAUUGUGAAUACUCACAAACACAUAAACACACACACACAGAGAAUGGAUAAAUAAGUGCGGCAUGAGUUGUAGUUAUACUUAAGUGAGUUUAGUUUAGUUUACGAGACGAGCGCACGCCGCCCACACGACAAUAACACAAUAACAAGACCACCGAAAGACACUUUGUAAGCGAAUAUCUAAAUAUCCAAAGCGUCGAGUAAUCGUUUUCUGCAUAAAACACUGCGCAUGCGUAUUGACCUUGAAACAUGCACACACAUUGUUCGUUUUCCCAAAUGACAUCAUAAUACGCAUAGAAUAAUAAAUCUUUUCGAGUUCAUUUCGCUACAAAUUCACCGAUACGAGUGCAGAUUAGGAUGGCGUGACGAACACACAGUGUGUAAACAUGAUGCAUAUUACGUAAUGCACCUCACCUAUACUCGUUCACCUGUUGAUUGAGAUGCAUUUUUUUUGCGUGAAUUUUUCUCAACUUUUUCGGGGGAAUAAUUCCCGUUCGACGUGUGUAUCGGUAUCGACGAGCGUUCGACGUUUUUCCAAUAAUAACUCCUGCCAAUAAUAUCUAUCGGGGCCCCCUUCGCCGCGUCACCUCCUCCACCUCUCCACCUUCGCGCAUAUUUAUAAAUCGGAGAAGUUGAGCUUUGGAAAUUGUAAAAGUACACCAGCAGCGCGCGCGCUUUGUGUGCUGCCAAAAACAACUCUCGCAAAAUGUCUGUUCAAUGUCUAAUGUUUCGGGGGGGCAAUAUUGCCCGAUUCGAUUCGUGCGCGGGUGAUACGCGUGACAUAUUCGCUCCGAAUUGCUUUUUCUAUAUUUAUAACGCAAUUAUUUGUUGUGUGUUUCAGGAAAGGAUACGCCACACACAAAGACUUCGCAAUGUGGGUUAAAAGUUAAAAGUCGUGCGCGCACGCGCAUUUGAAUCUCGAGAUUCAACUCCAACUCCUCCAUCACAAUUAGAACACUCUGCACGGAACAUUACCCUCGGUGUGCAAUGCCGUGCACUUCAACUCUGCGGAUGUCUUUAUAUUAUUUUUAUUUUCGUUUCGAAUGUGUAUAACCACCUGUUGGUCGCAUCGUCGCUGCCGCUCGGGGUGAUGCCGGCGAGCUUGAAAUUUUGCCCUCCCUGUUUUCGCGGCGCGCGUGCCGCUCGAUUGCUCCGCGUGCGCACGCCUGGGUGAGCAAAGUUUCAGGUGUGUCGGCGUCGUGCCCCCAUGCAACAACAACGCAACGCACUCCCUCGCAAUACAUCGGCAGGUGUACGCAUCGAAAAAUAACAAAAAAAAAACAACUCAACGAAGAGUUUCAUUUUGGCCACGCUUGAACUUUGUUUUUGCCUGUGUUUGCCAGGUGAGCAAAGAUUCAGGUGUGUCUAGAGCUCUUUUACGCUGCACAACAAGAUCAUAUACAUCAUAUGGAUACUACAUGUGUUACAUAACCUCUAAAAUGAAUACCAAUGAAAAAUAAAGUUUUUCCUGAAUCGUAUCUUGUUUUUCACUCGAGAGAUUCACAACAUUCAUAUUUAAAUAACAACACGUCUGUUUGUAAAUAUAUGUAAAACAUCACACAAGUGCAAAAAUACAUCUUGAAUUUAA